GCCUUGAUGAACAUUUCACCUUUAUAGCCUGGUUAGAAAGUUAAGUUCUCUGAACAAAUGACUAGUAAUCACUUAUUGUUAGAAAGCAGAUAGAUCUGCUUCCCAUUCUUCCACCACCACCAAUUCAGGGAUGGCUUGUAUUUCUUCCAGUCACCAAGUAUUGGGGACGCUUUGGGUAUGGAGGAAGAAUCAAAUAUAUUGGUCAUAAGAAGUCGGAAAGCUUAGAACGGGAGAAGAAAAUGAUUCUCAAAGCAGUAGCACUUACCAAAUCUAAUCCCCUUGAGCUGGAACCUUCACCAGUGAUGUCUGAAGGGAGAGCUAAACUCUUCCAGAAGCCCAAGUUCAAACCUCUCCCUCUUCAAAAGCGGUGGCAAGAGAAAUUCGAUCGAUCUGAGCAGUUCCCCAAGAUGCGCGAGGUUCCCCCUUGCUCCAGUUUUCCCACCCGGCAGUGGAGGAAGGCUCAGAGCCGGGACAGCUCCAGUAGCCGGAGCAGCGUGUCCUCUGAGCGCCUGACAGUAAUGAUUAAUUUCAUCCCGCCUCCUGGGAGAGAGUCCCGCCCGGCAACUGACCAGCGGCCCAGGUGGACAGCACUGGUCACGAGACUCCUCGGCACUAGCUCCAAGAGCCUUCCGCAACUACAAAUCGGAAACUCAGAAACUUUCCAAGAAUGAAGUUAUGGGAGCAAAGAAGGCAAUGAGCCUGCAGUGCCCUGUCUUUUGGAGAUAGCAAUUCAGUGUUGAAGGAGCAAGACCAAGGCUAGGCAGCAUGCAGGGAAAAGAGUUCUGUCAGCAAAACCCUGAUUACAAACAGGUGGCUCCAACUACAAAAGACAGAAAGGCAGUAAGUCACAAACAGCCAAACCCAGAACUAUGUGCACAUAGUUUUUCAUUCUGGCAUUUUAACGAGAAAUAAAAGGAGAUUUUUU
Molecule: long non-coding RNA, 925 nt
Filed under: Sarcophilus harrisii (Tasmanian devil)
Lineage: Eukaryota; Metazoa; Chordata; Mammalia; Dasyuromorphia; Dasyuridae
Description: lncRNA (ENSSHAG00000028879.1)
Source: RNAcentral